Phyllopteryx taeniolatus (common seadragon) is the source of this 2745-nucleotide RNA transcript. It is a transcript of the gene named finTRIM family, member 59, with no coding region annotated. The record is from RefSeq and is a predicted model, not a curated record. Lineage: Eukaryota; Metazoa; Chordata; Actinopteri; Syngnathiformes; Syngnathidae. The transcript has 3 exons.
UUACCGCUUCAUCAAGCUGUUUGGUUUUUGCUCUGUGGGCAGUCACUAACAUACGUGCCGCACACACACACACACACACACACACACACGCACGGUCACAUGAACCUUCAAACGCUACACUCAUCUGCCCUAAACAAGAACCCACCCCCCCCACGUCUUGUGCAGCGUUUACCGUUAUCAAUGAUAAGUCAACUAUUUCACUUUACAUCCAAAAAGUACAGUAAUCUAUCUUCGUGAUUACUGUACACAAGUUUAUUUUCAUAGCUUAUUUGGAAGCUUUGAGUUAAGUGGCCUUGAGAUUCAGCAUGAUGUACAGACGUACCUAAAGUACCUGCAAAGAUUUGUUCCUAUAUAUACAGUACAUGUUGACAAGGAAAGGUCUUUAUUAUUUUUGCCUUGAUUCCGAAUAAAUCAUUCUCUGUAAAUUAUUAUACAUAACACUUUCACAGAAUUUCCCCCAUUCAUAAUACAAAUGAAUGCUGUAUAACAAAACAAAAUAUGCCCACGAAUGAUAUCGGUAAUACUGUAUACGUUAUUUUGAUAACUCCCUCAAGUUCUAAUAAUAAUAAGAAAAGAAUGUAAGGAUUUUUUUUAUUUGUAUUCUUACAGAUAUAAUAUCACCAAAAUAGGACAUCUCCUGUCCGUUGCUAAUGCAUCUGCACUCCCUGGAAAAAAAAAAAAACUAUGACUAUGACUAUGUUCAGACCAUAAAUCAAACAAAGUACCUUGUGUGAGUCACACACUUUGGUUCUGGUUCACUUUGGUUCACAUUGGACUCUUAAUGGUCUGUAUUUUGAAGGGAAAACCACAUUGGCUUGACUUUACAGACCCAAGAUGGAAGUGCACCUCUUUUCGUCAGUGAAGGUCACAGUCUUCGUAAUGUAUAUGGAUACGUUUCAGAGCGCCGGUGUGGCAGACGGCCAGUGGAUUCAGCCUCAUACGUACACAUGUGGGUAAAAGACGAAUAGAGGUGAUUGGGCAGGAUUUGGAGUUAUCGAAAAGAAACAAUAAACGGAGUCGAGGCUCUGUUACAAUGCAAUAGAUAUCAUGUGAAAGCACUGCACAUUUUUUUUCCCCGUUCUGUCUUUUUUCUAAUGCUCUCACUGUGCAGGAUAGAUGGAGGUCAUUCAUUAUCUGCUGGUCCACCGGGACCAGUAUCUUCCUCAGCAGUUUAAACAAGGCCCACCGCAGCAGAGGGCUUGAGCUGUUGAAAACAUACACACGCGGACGUAGAGGAACUACAAGUGCGGCAGCGUUUGUACGCCGCUUUCCGAAGCUCAUUGAGGUUAAUGAGUGUAAAUGCACGCAGUGAGUGAUGACUUCAUCUUGGCCGUGAACGAGGCGAAGGCAAGACAGAACGACGUGCAUACGCACAGAAGGUACGGAAACACAAAGGCAAGCGAGCAGAAGGUGGUCGUGCGUGUACCGGAGGCGGCGGCAUCAGCAACUGGAUUCAACAAAACCUCCUGUAGGAACACACGCAGGCCUGCCGACACAUCACAUGCUCACUUCUUGGCCUGAAGACUGACAGCCGAAGAGAAAUAGGAAGAUGACAUCACCUCCAUUGCGAUAAGGGGACCCUGGGGAAGGAAAGACUCCUAACGCCCUCCUCACUUGCCUCUGGAAACAACUCAGAAGUGACUUUCAAAGUUAUCAAUUAUGUUUGAUUUUGGAGUUUUCCUAUAUAUUUUUUUGUACUUAGAUGGACACUUUUGUCCAUGAAACUUCGUGUCAGCAGACCCUCGUCCUACUGUGUUCAGCCAAUCACUUUCUUGCCUGCACUCAAGACACAUUUGAAAAGCGAUUUCCCCAAAAAUAAUUAAAAAAAUUCAAUAAAAAUAUCUUCCCUGUUUUGGGGUUAAACAAACAAACAAACAAAACAAAACCUAAAUCUAGGUUUACGUUUGAAGCACAAUUUUGCCAAUCAGAGACCUGAAUCAACUGCAAAAUCUGCGGCGAGACUCAGUUUAUAUUCUAAACGUCCUCGAAGUAACAUUCAUUACAAUCUACUAAAUGGCUCACGUCACAUAUAUGAUCUGUCAUUAAAACACACUUUUGAAAAUACAUAAAUAAAGGACAAAACGCUGAGGAAAGCACACUUGUGUGUUCAUUUCUAUAACACUAAUAACUAUAAUGAUAAUAAUAAUAAUAUUUUAUACAGUAACUGACUAUUAACUGACACUUAUAACAAAGAAAUACACAAAUAUGAAUAAUAUAUCUUUUACAAAGGCAAAUAUUUUGCCAGAAAUAAACAUUCUGUAAUGUCAGAGCAGUUUAUAAUAAGGUAAGGAAAGUACAAGUAUAUUAACAGAAAAUAACUGAGAAGUUAAAUUCACGUAGAAUAUUACUCGACUAAAAGUCUCAAAGGAUUUUGAAUUUUGAUUAUGUUUGCCCAUCCAUCUAUUUUCUGUACGGCUCGCCCUUAUUAGGGUCGAGGGUGUACAGGUAUGCAAAAAAAAUAAAAAUAAAUCUACUUUAGUACAAGAGCACCUCUGCUGGUUGCAGCCAAGUACUGCAAUCCAUAUUGACUCUUUUUUUUUUUUUUUUUUUUGACCAUACAAUCAUCACUUUGACCCAAAAUCAUAAUAACCAGUCGUUCAAACCUGCAUUCCUAAUAGUGAUACUAGAUGUCAGUCAAUUAGUCGAUUGUAACCUCAAUCGAGUGGAAAUUACUGGUAGCAAAGCUGCCGUAAUUGUCUUAACACUGAAUAGAGAACCAGUGUGUGUGUGUGUGUGUGUGUGUGA